GAUGAACGCUAGCGGGAGGCUUAACACAUGCAAGUCGAGGGGCAGCAUAGGGUAGCAAUACUCUGAUGGCGACCGGCAAACGGGUGAGUAACGCGUAUGCAACCUACCCUGUACAGGGGGAUAACCCGGAGAAAUUCGGACUAAUAUCCCGUAAUAAUAUCCGGAGGCAUCUUUGGAUAUUUAAAGUUUCGACGGUACGGGAUGGGCAUGCGUAACAUUAGCUGGUUGGUAAGGUAACGGCUUACCAAGGCUAUGAUGUUUAGGGGUCCUGAGAGGGUGGUCCCCCACACUGGUACUGAGACACGGACCAGACUCCUACGGGAGGCAGCAGUGAGGAAUAUUGGUCAAUGGGCGCAAGCCUGAACCAGCCAUCCCGCGUGCAGGAAGACGGCCCUAUGGGUUGUAAACUGCUUUUCCAGGGAGAGAAACUUACGCACGUGUUGCGUGACUGACGGUACCCUGGGAAUAAGCAUCGGCUAACUCCGUGCCAGCAGCCGCGGUAAACCGAGAGUA
Molecule: ribosomal RNA, 513 nt
Filed under: uncultured bacterium
Lineage: Bacteria
Description: bacterial SSU rRNA
Rfam family: Bacterial small subunit ribosomal RNA
Source: RNAcentral